RNAcentral lists this ribosomal RNA (253 nucleotides) under uncultured bacterium. RNAcentral describes it as "partial 16S ribosomal RNA". It matches the Rfam family "Bacterial small subunit ribosomal RNA", at positions 524 to 776 of the family's 1533-position model. The record is from RNAcentral.
UACAUGUGGGGCAAGCGUUGUUCGGAAUUACUGGGCGUAAAGGGUGCGUAGGUGGUUUGUUGAGUCAGGGGUGAAAUCCCGCGGCCCAACCGUGGAACUGCCUUUGAUACUGGCGAACUUGAGUGCGUGAGGGGUAGGGGGAACGAGCAGUGUAGCGGUGAAAUGCGUAGAUAUUGCUCGGAAGGCCAGAGCCGAAGGGGCCCUACUGGUGCGCAACUGACACUGAGGCACGAAAGCGUGGGGAGCAAACAGG